Long non-coding RNA from Bos taurus (domestic cattle), 4820 nucleotides. Lineage: Eukaryota; Metazoa; Chordata; Mammalia; Artiodactyla; Bovidae. The record is from Ensembl.
GGACAGCCGUUCCGGUCCGUCCCCUCCCUCUGUCCGAGGUGACCCGGGACCGGCGCUUGGGGGUGUUGCCCUGGGCGCUCGGACACCGCCUCCCAGGAUUAAAGCGAGAGCCGGGGAGGAUCGAGGACUCCGAGCCGGGCCGAGGAAGCAGCGAACUCCAGAGGAGGCGGAGGAGAAGGAGGAGGAAGAAGGGGCGAGGGGAGGGGAGCUGCCCCGGAGGGCAGCAGGUAAGUGGCUCGCGCGACGGGUUCUCUGUGCUGGAGAUCCCGGGAGCAAGGAAGGACCUGGGCGCCCGGGCUGGGUGAGAGUAGCGGGAGGUGAAGCCAGGUGUGAGCAGCUCCGGCCCGGUAGUUCCGUCCUCCCGCCGUCUGGACGCACUGGGCUGAGCCGAGCAAAGCGACCUGCGUGAGGUCAGGAGUGUUCCGAGCGCCUGGGACGCCUUGGCACGGGAGUCAGAGCCCCCCAGGCUGCUCUUUUGGCAUCACUGGGUUGGUGCAGGCUACUCUGCCGGUCCUUAGCCAAUUGGUAGCCGGAAAGGUGCCUCGGAGUGGGUCCCCUUGGCUGAAAUCGGCUCAUGCUCCCCUGGCCGCUUUAGCUCCGAGUUGGGAACAAGGGGUGCGCCUUUUCCCUUCGAGGACGAGGACGGAGGGAGGGUUGUCCAUCCGCUUCUUUGUUUCGGGAAAAUCUCUGCAGCCUCGUAGUGUUACCUGAACUGCUUCUUGGUUCCCUCCCAAAGUGGGGAGAAACUGGAAACUCUCGGAGAUGCAGGGAGCGAUAACGCCGGCGCGGCGGGGGCGGGCCUGGAGGGCCUCCGGGCGAGGUGCGAACCGCUCGGUGGCCCCAGGAAGGCAAUUCCCACAACACGGGCCCCAGUGCGGCGACCCGGAGGCCACGAUCAGGGCUGGGCCGCCUGGACAGCCGGCAACGCCCCCCGCCCCUGCUCCGGUCUCCUGCGCUUCCAGUGCGGGAAGGAGCGGUCCUGGUCUCUAGGCGCACACUCCAUGCCAGGGACAAGGCCGGACACCUGGGCACUUCGGUCCACUGCAUGCCAUCUGGCAGGACCCCGAGCCAUGGCACCGCGGCUGAACGCACCAGCUUGGCAGUGGGCACCGAUAAGAAUUGCCUUAUGGCCCCAAAUUCCGCACUUCCAGGCCCCAGAGGGGAAGCACGGGUUGCGGGCGGCUGCCUGCCCUGGCGUGCUCCCCGGCUUUUGGGAAGGGCCCACCCCGCUGGUGAUCCCAAAUCCGGAAUUCAGUUUCGGACGCUGAGGUGGCUGCAGGCCGGUCAGGUGGAAUCCCAGUGGAUCGUUUGGGAGGGAAAAGAGAGUGACUCGAGACCUGCCUGUCGGGCAGGGGUCACCCGGGGCUCGCCUCUAGCCUGCGAAUCCCGCCCGAUUCCCGCCGGAUUCAGACCUGCGUGGUAGUACCGGGCACACAGCAGGCGUCCUGGGCUCCGGGCUGUAGAGAGCCAACCAAGUGAUGGAAAAUUACAAAGGCUGCUAAGGAGAACUUCAAGGUGUUUAGAAAACCUGAAGUGAGGGGAGGGUUGUUGACUUAGCCUGGGAGGUCUCGGAAGGUUCUCCAGGAAGUGGGGACUGAGCCAAUCUCCCCUGGAGGACGGUGGGGGCUGGGAGUGGGAGCCGGGCUUGCAUGACACAGCUUCCUGGGAGCGCAGGCGCUGCUGCUGCUGAGUGAGGUGCAGGGGUUGGGGAACCCAGGGAGGCGGUGGAGGUUUGCUCCCCCCUUCCACAGCUUUUCCAGAGGUGGGCCUGCCUGCAUCCCCCACCAUGGCCAACCUUACUGGACCCUUGAGGUCAAUGUGAGAGGCCAGGGCAGCACCAGCAAGCCCACACCACAGGAGUCAGGGAGCUACGGGGCGGGCUCCUCCUGGAGAUUGACUAUGGACACCUCCCUCUCCACUUUUAAAACCGUGAGCUGGCUAGCAGCAGGAGUCCUUUGUUCUUGACUGGGAGGUUUGUUUGUUUGAUCCCCAGCAAUGCCUUUCUUAUUGACACCUCCAAGGUCAGUCUUUUUCCUACAAGGUUGUGUAGUUGCCUGGAGCCUACAGGGCUCAGGAUUGCUUGCUGAUUGGCCUCAGCUCACCCUGGGCUGCUCCACCCUGGACUCCUGCGUUAAUUGUAGGAGAACAUUGGGUUGCACCCCUGUUAUCAUAGGAACAGCCCAUGUGGAUGUGGCCUUUACUUCCAACUGGGCAUCCUUCCAGGCUCUUUGUGAUGCAUGUAACUCAGUUGAGAGCAACUAAGGCAGUCGGGAAAUAACUUGCCCCAGGUGAUCCCAUGACCUGUAGGGAGAUCAGGGGGUGCAGGCAGGCCAGAUGGCUCCAGGGAAGCUUUGUGAGGCCUGGAAUCCUCGUGGGAAAGGGGGUGGCUCUAGGGCCAGGCUGACUUCCUCAACAUCCAAGAGCAGAGCCUCUUCCCUUCCCCCUCCCCCCCAACACCUGCCCCGCUGGCUCCGAGCUGCCCACUUCUAGGGUGACCUGGGCAGGACAGCUUGCCCCUUUAUGGGGCAGUGCAUAGGGUUGACCGUCUCUGGUGAUGUGGCCGAGGGUACAAACGUCUUUAGGCGGUGAAGCCUAGACACGCGAAGGACACUAUAAUGGUUGUUGCGGAGACUCGACCCAGCCUGGGACACGGGGUCUACCAGGAUGUGUAAACCAGGGCUCCAGGCUGGUGCCUCUCACUCUUUUCCACCUAGGCCUGUGGCAGGAGUCCUGGGGGCCUCUGUGACCACUGGGGAUCAUUGCCCUGGUUUCAGUUGCUGCAUCAGAUUCUGAUGGAAUAGGAAAUCUAUUUUUUGAAGCCCUCCAGAAUUAUGCAGUCCUUAGCAUGGAAGUAGAAAAAAGAAAGGCGACUGGGUCAAAGUAGUGUCUGGUCAGCUUUGCUUAAUUACGGAGGGGAAGCCGGCUCUGUUGGUGUGGGGGUGGGGGCACUCAGGGCUCGUCCACCUUCUGCUGCUCUCUCAGCUCUGGGUCUGCUGGGUGGUCUUGCUUCCCACAAUUGCUCAGUCUUUGCUGCCCUUCCUGGCACCCCCAAGAUGAGCUAAGGGGCUUCUGGGGAGGGAAGAGGUGUCACACACCUGGGUGCUGAGAUGUGAAUUGGGCCAGGCUUGGUGAGUCCCUUCCUAGCUUGAGGUUGGGGAUCCCUAUGUAUAGGCCAUUUUGGGGGAUCUGGCUUGAAAGCCGCUCAGGACUGUGGGCCUGGAUGUGCGGGAGGGAACUCCCAGUGCCCCUGCCCCCACCGUGCCGAUGGCCAGCCUGGUCCCAAAUGCAGUAGCAGAGGGCUCAGCUGAUCACACAGACAGGUCUGAGGAACAACCCAGAGGCAGAACUCGAGAUCAGGAGGAAGGGGAAGUGACCUCUGACUUGGUCUGCCCCAGCCACUGGACAGAGGUCCAGAGAAGAGGAACCAGGGGCAUGAAAAAUGUCAUGGGCAGUCUUAGAGACAUCCAGGAAGAAUGGCAGACCCUGAUUUUCUGGUGGACAUGUGGGCAGCUCCUUGAACUGUGAACAGUGUGAAUCUUGAAGAGGGCAGGUGACUCAAAGCAGAGCUUUAUGCUUGUUAGAGGUCAGUCAAGGAGAAGGAGGGAAGGACUUGCCAUGAGUGGAAACUCCAGGCAUUUAUGUUGUGUGUAGGGGUGGGGUGCAGGAGGGACGAGGGUGCAGAAAUGUUAUAAGGAAGCAGGAAAUGUUUGAAAGGCUUCUCUCUCUAUCCAUGGGGAUUCUCCAGGCAAGAAUACUGGAGUGGGUUGCCAUGCACUCCUCCAGGGGAUCUUCCCAACCCAGGGAUUAAACCCAGGUCUCCCACACUGCAGUCGGAUUUUUUACCAUCUGAGCCACAAUGGAAGCCCUGAAAUUCACAUUAAUUCUUGCAGCUAGCUGCAUGUAAAUAGCAACAAAAGCUUAAGUUUGGAUGCUACUGCAAAGGCAGAGUGGACAGAAUCAUUGGGAGUUCUGUUGGCCUUCUAGUGGAUGUCCAUUAGAGAAAUAUUUUCUAGGGAGCUCUGAUCUGGAAGAUGAGAUGAAGCCUAGGCUUUUAUGAUGGCUUGUUUGGAUGUCACCUCACAUCAGCAUGGCUUUAAGCUCCCUGAUUUUGGAAAGGCCCUCCUGGCAGGGCAAGCACCUGGCCUCAUCUGGGACUCGAUCUGAACACCAGGCAUGUGGAGCCUGUGUUUUCUAGGGAUAGAUUUGUGUUUCUGACCACAAAAUAUAAAAGAUCAUCAUGUCUGGCCUCUCAGCCAGUUUGGUUCUAGAAUGUGCUGUAGACAUAGCCUUACAGCGUUGGAUCAGACUUUUUUAUUUUUUGGUUUGAGGAACUGUUUCUCACAAGGGAACCCAGUGGAUACUGAAAUUUCCUCAUUGUUGGAACUUGGUUUCCCUGGAUUGAGUUAAAUCUGCCCUCCUGAUAUUUCUGAACUUUUUGAUCCUGAGUUCUUCCUUUGGAUCUUCACACAAAAAAAUUGAGUCCUUUUCCCAUACAUCAGUCCCUUAGCUAUUGUCAUUAUGUUAUUCUGGAGGGCUCAUCCUGUGAUGCGCAUGGUGUUAGGCCACAAACACAUUUAAUCUGGACAGAACCCCAUUUAUCUGCUAUCCUUGGGUCAGGAAGAUCCUCUGGAGAAGGAAAUGGCAACCCACUCCGGUAUUCUUGCCUGGGAAAUCCCAUGGACAGAGGAGCCUGGCGGGCUAGAGUUCAUGGGGUUGCCAAGAGUUGGACAUGACUGAAGUGACUCAGCACGCAUAACCUGCAUGCAUGCCCAUUUCACAGAUCGACUCAGGCAAGUUCUUCGAACCUUAGACAGUGGCUU